AUUGAACGCUGGCGGCAGGCCUAACACAUGCAAGUCGAGCGGAUGAAGGGAGCUUGCUCCUGGAUUCAGCGGCGGACGAGUGAGUAAUGCCUAGGAAUCUGCCUGGUAGUGGGGGAUAACGUCCGGAAACGGGCGCUAAUACCGCAUACGUCCUGAGGGAGAAAGUGGGGGAUCUUCGGACCUCACGCUAUCAGAUGAGCCUAGGUCGGAUUAGCUAGUUGGUGGGGUAAAGGCCUACCAAGGCGACGAUCCGUAACUGGUCUGAGAGGAUGAUCAGUCACACUGGAACUGAGACACGGUCCAGACUCCUACGGGAGGCAGCAGUGGGGAAUAUUGGACAAUGGGCGAAAGCCUGAUCCAGCCAUGCCGCGUGUGUGAAGAAGGUCUUCGGAUUGUAAAGCACUUUAAGUUGGGAGGAAGGGCAGUAAGUUAAUACCUCGCUGUUUUGACGUUACCAACAGAAUAAGCACCGGCUAACUUCGUG
This 484-nucleotide ribosomal RNA is filed under the name uncultured bacterium. RNAcentral describes it as "partial 16S ribosomal RNA". It matches the Rfam family "Bacterial small subunit ribosomal RNA", at positions 30 to 507 of the family's 1533-position model. The record is from RNAcentral.